Molecule: ribosomal RNA, 475 nt
Filed under: uncultured bacterium
Lineage: Bacteria
Description: SSU rRNA
Rfam family: Bacterial small subunit ribosomal RNA
Source: RNAcentral
AGGACGAACGCUAGCGGCGUGUUUGAAACAUGCAAGUCGAACGGGAAGAGCAAUCUUUUAGUGGCGAACGGGUGCGUAACACGUAAAGAACCUAUCCAACAGUGGGGGAUAGCCUCUGGAAACGGGGGGUAAUACCGCAUACGGUAUAGAGCAGGCAUCUGCUUUAUAGGAAAGGGAUACGAAAGUAUUUCACUGAUGGAGGGCUUUGCGGCCUAUCAGGUAGUUGGUGGGGUAACGGCCUACCAAGCCAAAGACGGGUAGCUGGUCUGAGAGGACGAUCAGCCACACUGGGACUGAGAUACGGCCCAGACUCCUACGGGGGGCAGCAGUUUAGAAUAUUGUGCAAUGGGCGAAAGCCUGACACAGCGACGCCGCGUGGGUGAUGAAGGCCUUAGGGUCGUAAAGCCCUGUUGGUAGGGAAGAGCAAGGACGGUACCUACCGAGGAAGCCCGGCUAACUACGUGCCAGCAGCCGC